AUUCACAGGUAAGAAUCUGAACUAUAUAAUAUAUGUAAAUGUGUAUAUAUACAAAAAGAGCCAGAAUAUCAAAAUGGAAUGAAAUCUACUAGAUUCCUCGGUGUACUAGUUGAUGAAAAGUUGUGGCCAAUUCAAUUAAAAUUUCAACUCACGAGUUGAAUAGGAGUAAAUUAGAAAAUUCUGAAUUAGAUUCAUAUGGACAAAUCCUAGAUAGAUCAUAAUGAAUUAGAUUCAUAUGGACAGAUCCCAAUGAAUUAGAUUCAUAUGGACAGAUCGUAGAUAGGUCAUAAUGAAUUAGAUUCAUAUGGACAGAUCGUAAUGAAUUAGAUUCAUAUGGACUGAUCGUAAUGAAUUAGAUUCAUAUGGACAGAUCGUAAUGAAUUAGAUUCAUAUGGACAGAUCGUAAUGAAUUAAAUUCAUAUGGACAGAUCCUAGAUAGAUCAUAAUGAAUUAGAUUCAUAUGGACAGAUCAUAAUGAAUUAGAUUCAUAUGGACAGAUCCUAAUGAAUUAGAUUCAUAUGGACAGAUCCUAGAUAGGUCAUAAUGAAUUAGAUUCAUAUGGACAGAUCCUAGAUAGGUCAUAAUGAAUUAGAUUCAUAUGGACAGAUCCUAGAUAGGUCAUAAUGAAUUAGAUUCAUAUGGACAGAUCCUAGAUAGGUCAUAAUGAAUUAGAUUCAUAUGGACAGAUCCUAGAUAGGUCAUAAUGAAUUAGAUUCAUAUGGACGGGGGGACUUGGUCCUAAAUCAGGCACUCCUUCUCUGAGAUGCUUUGUGGAUACGGCCCCUUCCUGUGGCGCUUCCUGUGAUUGGUUCAAAUGCCAGGCUCUUUGUGAGACCAUCAGCUGAUAGACAUUGUUGUGAAUAUAAUCAUUUGGGGGAUUUAAACUUUCGACCAGUGUUGAAAGGUCCCUUUGGACAGAUCAUAUCAUCUCCAUUGAUACACAAAACAAUACCAGUUUCCCUUGGUUACUUACCAAGGCAACAAGUCUAACAGAAAACACUGCUCAUCUCUGUGUGUUUGACUCUUUCGAGAGUCCUCUUUUGGAUGGACUGUAAGAGUAGUUACGAGCGAGAAGUGUGUGUGUGCGUACGACAGAGAAGUAUAGGAGUACAUUCCUCACAGGUAACACUCUUUGUGCUUUCCCC
This is a long non-coding RNA of Oncorhynchus keta (chum salmon), 1145 nucleotides long. RefSeq lists it as uncharacterized. The record is from RefSeq and is a predicted model, not a curated record. The transcript has 3 exons. Lineage: Eukaryota; Metazoa; Chordata; Actinopteri; Salmoniformes; Salmonidae.